This 1456-nucleotide ribosomal RNA is filed under the name Weissella confusa. RNAcentral's name for it is "bacterial SSU rRNA". It matches the Rfam family "Bacterial small subunit ribosomal RNA". The record is from RNAcentral. Lineage: Bacteria; Bacillati; Bacillota; Bacilli; Lactobacillales; Lactobacillaceae.
CGAGAGUUUGAUCCUGGCUCAGGAUGAACGCUGGCGGCGUGCCUAAUACAUGCAAGUCGAACGCUUUGUGGUUCAACUGAUUUGAAGAGCUUGCUCAGAUAUGACGAUGGACAUUGCAAAGAGUGGCGAACGGGUGAGUAACACGUGGGAAACCUACCUCUUAGCAGGGGAUAACAUUUGGAAACAGAUGCUAAUACCGUAUAACAAUGACAACCGCAUGGUUGUUAUUUAAAAGAUGGUUCUGCUAUCACUAAGAGAUGGUCCCGCGGUGCAAUAGCUAGUUGGUAAGGUAAUGGCUUACCAAGGCGAUGAUGCAUAGCCGAGUUGAGAGACUGAUCGGCCACAAUGGGACUGAGACACGGCCCAUACUCCUACGGGAGGCAGCAGUAGGGAAUCUUCCACAAUGGGCGAAAGCCUGAUGGAGCAACGCCGCGUGUGUGAUGAAGGGUUUCGGCUCGUAAAACACUGUUGUAAGAGAAGAAUGACAUUGAGAGUAACUGUUCAAUGUGUGACGGUAUCUUACCAGAAAGGAACGGCUAAAUACGUGCCAGCAGCCGCGGUAAUACGUAUGUUCCAAGCGUUAUCCGGAUUUAUUGGGCGUAAAGCGAGCGCAGACGGUUAUUUAAGUCUGAAGUGAAAGCCCUCAGCUCAACUGAGGAAUUGCUUUGGAAACUGGAUGACUUGAGUGCAGUAGAGGAAAGUGGAACUCCAUGUGUAGCGGUGAAAUGCGUAGAUAUAUGGAAGAACACCAGUGGCGAAGGCGGCUUUCUGGACUGUAACUGACGUUGAGGCUCGAAAGUGUGGGUAGCAAACAGGAUUAGAUACCCUGGUAGUCCACACCGUAAACGAUGAGUGCUAGGUGUUUGAGGGUUUCCGCCCUUAAGUGCCGCAGCUAACGCAUUAAGCACUCCGCCUGGGGAGUACGACCGCAAGGUUGAAACUCAAAGGAAUUGACGGGGACCCGCACAAGCGGUGGAGCAUGUGGUUUAAUUCGAAGCAACGCGAAGAACCUUACCAGGUCUUGACAUCCCUUGACAACUCCAGAGAUGGAGCGUUCCCUUCGGGGACAAGGUGACAGGUGGUGCAUGGUUGUCGUCAGCUCGUGUCGUGAGAUGUUGGGUUAAGUCCCGCAACGAGCGCAACCCUUAUUACUAGUUGCCAGCAUUCAGUUGGGCACUCUAGUGAGACUGCCGGUGACAAACCGGAGGAAGGUGGGGAUGACGUCAAAUCAUCAUGCCCCUUUAUGACCUGGGCUACACACGUGCUACAAUGGCGUAUACAACGAGUUGCCAACCCGCGAGGGUGAGCUAAUCUCUUAAAGUACGUCUCAGUUCGGAUUGUAGGCUGCAACUCGCCUACAUGAAGUCGGAAUCGCUAGUAAUCGCGGAUCAGCACGCCGCGGUGAAUACGUUCCCGGGUCUUGUACACACCGCCCGUCACACCAUGAGAGUUUGUA